UACGUAGGGGGCGAGCGUUAUCCGGAUUCAUUGGGCGUAAAGCGCGCGUAGGCGGCCGCCUAAGCGGAACCUCUGACCCCGGGGCUCAACCUCGGGCCGGGUUCCGGACUGGGCGGCUCGAGUGCGGUAGAGGAGAGCGGAAUUCCCGGUGUAGCGGUGGAAUGCGCAGAUAUCGGGAAGAACACCGAUGGCGAAGGCAGCUCUCUGGGCCGUCACUGACGCUGAGGCGCGAAAGCUGGGGGAGCAAACAGG
This 252-nucleotide ribosomal RNA is filed under the name uncultured bacterium. RNAcentral's name for it is "partial 16S ribosomal RNA". It matches the Rfam family "Bacterial small subunit ribosomal RNA", at positions 524 to 776 of the family's 1533-position model. The record is from RNAcentral.